Long non-coding RNA from Cynocephalus volans (Philippine flying lemur), 1838 nucleotides. RefSeq lists it as uncharacterized. The record is from RefSeq and is a predicted model, not a curated record. The transcript is spliced from 2 exons. Lineage: Eukaryota; Metazoa; Chordata; Mammalia; Dermoptera; Cynocephalidae.
UUGCCGCUCCGCUGCGACCUGGACCGGGAGGCUGCGGUGGACGAGGGUGGGACCACCCCCCGCCGGUGGUGAUGCUGCCGGCAGCGCUGAGCAGGGGCGCCUCCGCCGCAGCCACAUUCUGAGUGCCAGGAAAAGGGGCGACAGACCACACGCGCUCGCCGGUUCACCAAACCGAAAGCCGAAAAUGACGCUCCGGGGGGACGGUUCAAGUCACUGGUUUCUGCCCUAAACUUUCCUGGAAUUGUGCUGAGUACGGCACGUGCGGCAGCUGCUUCGUUCAGUUCCCUUCGGCUGGGAGAGACCUGAUUCCUGCUUUGGGCCCAGUGGCUCACGGAGAGCCAAGGAAUGAGCGAUUCCCCUGCGUCCCCUCCCUACUGAACCAUCUUCCUACCAUUGGGAUUUGGAAAAGUGAGCCUGAGCCAUCAGUGUGCUUUCUUUUUGGACCUUCUUGGCGAUGAUGCGCUGUCACCUGCGGAGACCACCUUUUGUGUUCUUCUGUGGCAUUGACCUUCUGCAAGGGGAUUUAGGACAGAAAUUGAAAAGAAAAUGUUCUUUUGAGCCUUGAGCUGGAGAACGAUGAUAUUGGGUAGAAGUAAGAUAUGACGAGCACAGACAAUUUGAGUACGGUGUUAUUUAACAAGGACAUUUCUAUCUCCACAGAAAGUCACCGCUCGAAGGAAACCAGUUCUGACUAUUCUGUGAGGAGUCUGGCCACCCAGCUGUCCACUUUCCCAAAGGCCUGGCAGAGAUGGUGGUUAAAGUGGCCCGUCUAAAUCCUCAGGAGAAUCAGCACGGAAUUAGAGGACAAUGAUCUACCCUAACCAAAGACUCGAGUGACAUGUGAAGUCUAGCAUAAAUGUAUUCAGAAAAUGUCCAGAUUAUUCUAGGAGCUAUAGGUCAGUGUGACAGAGACGCAAACAAAAAAACAGGUAUUUUAAGUUCACAGCUUAGACAAGGGGAAGGGAGAUGUUGUUGUUUUUUCCUGUUCAAUCCAACUUUAGAGUUUCACGUGGGAAAAAGGAUAAUUAGGAGUUAGAAAUUGUUAUUGCCAGAAAAGAGCUGUAAAUGCUGAAGCAGAAACUGGCCCUCCCCUUGAGGAGUAAAUAAACCUCAGCUGCUGUGGAUAAGAAUACUGAUAUCAAUCCUCCCAAGUGGUGAGGGUGGGCAGGGAAGGGUGAAUGUACACCUUACCCUGAGGAGCAAAAGCAAACCUGUUCAUGAUAUAUUUUUGAAAGUCGCAUUAUUUGAAAUAUUUAUUAGACAUGGUUAGUAAAGUUGAGCUGCUUUGAUUUUUUUCUCCUAUUCACCACUAUACAAACAAGAAUUAAGCUACUUCUAAAAUCUUAGACAAGGUGGGGGGGUGGGUAUUAACUCGUCAUUUAAGAAAGAGAUAAUGCGUGAAUGUAAUAGCUGAUAUUUAUUGUGUAUGUGCUACAUGUGUCAGGACAUGGGAUUGCACAUUUUAUUUCAAUUACUUCAUUGGAUUCUUACAACAAAUCCCUUGAGAUAGAUAAUAAUAGCCUCUUCAUUUCACAGGUGAAAGUUGAACCUUAGAAUUGAACAAAUCACUUCCGAAGCUCAUGUAGCCAAUAAGUGAUGAUGUAUGUCUUGACACAGGUAUGAUUAACAACUAAAUCCAUGAUUUUUGCCAUCAUACUCACAGAAAAAAGACAACUGAAAUUAUAGCCUGACUCUUGAAGUAGGAAAAAAGUUGUGUAUGUUUAUGCAUCUUCUAAUUAAUGAUAGUUAACACAUUGAUAGAUGGCCAAUGUAUAGAUUAAACUGUAUCCAAAUGCUCACUUAAUAAUAAAACCAAAGAAAUAAAAUAGAAUUUAGUC